UGGGGAAUUUUGGACAAUGGGCGCAAGCCUGAUCCAGCAAUGCCGCGUGCAGGAUGAAGGCCUUCGGGUUGUAAACUGCUUUUGUACGGAACGAAAAGCCUCUCUCUAAUACAGGGGGGUGAUGACGGUACCGUAAGAAUAAGCACCGGCUAACUACGUGCCAGCAGCCGCGGUAAUACGUAGGGUGCAAGCGUUAAUCGGAAUUACUGGGCGUAAAGCGUGCGCAGGCGGUUUUGUAAGACAGUGGUGAAAUCCCCGGGCUCAACCUGGGAACUGCCAUUGUGACUGCAAGGCUGGAGUGCGGCAGAGGGGGGAUGGAAUUCCGCGUGUAGCAGUGAAAUGCGUAGAUAUGCGGAGGAACACCGAUGGCGAAGGCAAUCCCCUGGGCCUGCACUGACGCUCAUGCACGAAAGCGUGGGGAGCAAACAGGAUUAGAUACCCUGGUAGUCCACGCCCUAAACGAUGUCAACUGGUUGUUGGGGAUUUAUUUCUUCAGUAACGAAGCUAACGCGU
Molecule: ribosomal RNA, 513 nt
Filed under: uncultured bacterium
Lineage: Bacteria
Description: partial 16S ribosomal RNA
Rfam family: Bacterial small subunit ribosomal RNA
Source: RNAcentral